UACGUAGGGGGCGAGCGUUGUCCGGAUUUAUUGGGCGUAAAGGGCGUGUAGGCGGCCUGUUAAGUCGGAGGUGAAACCCCAGAGCUCAACUCUGGGCCUGCCUCCGAAACUGAUGGGCUUGAGUAUCCUAGAGGGUAGUGGAAUUCCCGGUGUAGCAGUGAAAUGCGUAGAGAUCGGGAGGAACACCAGUGGCGAAGGCGACACGCUGGGCCGUACCUGACACUGAUGCGCGACAGCAUGGGGAGCAAACAGG
This 253-nucleotide ribosomal RNA is filed under the name uncultured bacterium. Its description in RNAcentral is "partial 16S ribosomal RNA". It matches the Rfam family "Bacterial small subunit ribosomal RNA", at positions 524 to 776 of the family's 1533-position model. The record is from RNAcentral.